Molecule: ribosomal RNA, 493 nt
Filed under: uncultured bacterium
Lineage: Bacteria
Description: partial 16S ribosomal RNA
Rfam family: Bacterial small subunit ribosomal RNA
Source: RNAcentral
AUUGAACGCUGGCGGCAUGCCUUACACAUGCAAGUCGAACGGUAACAGGUUAAGCUGACGAGUGGCGAACGGGUGAGUAAUGUAUCGGAACGUGCCCAGUCGUGGGGGAUAACGUAGCGAAAGCUACGCUAAUACCGCAUACGAUCUACGGAUGAAAGCGGGGGAUCGCAAGACCUCGCGCGAUUGGAGCGGCCGAUAUCAGAUUAGGUUGUUGGUGAGGUAAAAGCUCACCAAGCCUGCGAUCUGUAGCUGGUCUGAGAGGACGACUAGCCCACCGGGAACUGAGACACGGUCGCGACUCCUACGGGGGGCAGCAGUGGGGAAUUUUGGGCAAUGGACGCAAGUCUGAUCCAGCAAUGCCGCGUGCAGGACGAAGGCCUUCGGGUUGUAAACUGCUUUUGUACGGAACGAAACGGUGAGCUCUAAUACAGUUUGCUAAUGACGGUACCGUAAGAAUAAGCACCGGCUAACUACGUGCCAGCAGCCGCCGUAA